CCUUCUUCCGUUUAGACCAUGUCCUCCGACUGUAGGGACUACCCCACACCGGCAUCCACCGGGCAUGCCGCUGCGGGAUGGAAGCAACCGCACUGGAGACAAACUCCAUCGACGUUCUCCCACACAAAGUGCUGCCAUCGGGAGCCGUCGGGCCCAUCGAUUAGCACUCCCGACCAUAGCUGUCGAGAGAGGUCCACCCACACGCAUGCUAGCACGAAACUGAU
This 224-nucleotide long non-coding RNA is filed under the name Elaeis guineensis (African oil palm). RNAcentral's name for it is "long non-coding RNA (EGUI_LNC072703)". The record is from RNAcentral. Lineage: Eukaryota; Viridiplantae; Streptophyta; Magnoliopsida; Arecales; Arecaceae.